GAUCGGCAAGUUUGACCAGGAGCACGCGGACGUCGUCCGAAAUGGCGAGCAGCAGCUU
Molecule: small RNA, 58 nt
Filed under: Sinorhizobium meliloti 2011
Lineage: Bacteria; Pseudomonadati; Pseudomonadota; Alphaproteobacteria; Hyphomicrobiales; Rhizobiaceae
Description: putative ncRNA
Source: RNAcentral